Molecule: ribosomal RNA, 612 nt
Filed under: uncultured bacterium
Lineage: Bacteria
Description: bacterial SSU rRNA
Rfam family: Bacterial small subunit ribosomal RNA
Source: RNAcentral
CCUACGGGAGGCAGCAGUGGGGAAUUUUGGACAAUGGGCGAAAGCCUGAUCCAGCAAUGCCGCGUGAGUGAAGAAGGCCUUCGGGUUGUAAAGCUCUUUUGUCAGGGAAGAAACGGUAUGGGCUAAUAUCCCGUGCUAAUGACGGUACCUGAAGAAUAAGCACCGGCUAACUACGUGCCAGCAGCCGCGGUAAUACGUAGGGUGCAAGCGUUAAUCGGAAUUACUGGGCGUAAAGCGUGCGCAGGCGGUUUUGUAAGUUUGUCGUGAAAUCCCCGGGCUCAACCUGGGAAUGGCGAUGAAGACUGCAAGGCUAGAAUCUGGCAGAGGGGGGUAGAAUUCCACGUGUAGCAGUGAAAUGCGUAGAGAUGUGGAGGAACACCGAUGGCGAAGGCAGCCCCCUGGGUCAAGAUUGACGCUCAUGCACGAAAGCGUGGGGAGCAAACAGGAUUAGAUACCCUGGUAGUCCACGCCCUAAACGAUGUCUACUAGUUGUCGGGUUUUAAUAACUUGGUAACGCAGCUAACGCGUGAAGUAGACCGCCUGGGGAUACGGUCGCAAGNUUAAAACUCAAAGGAUUGNGNGNGAGAGNGCGAGACGACGACGAGGGAGAGG